UACGAAGGGAGCAGGUGUUAUUCAGAUUAACUGGGCGUAAAGGGCCAGUAGGCGGCCAACUAAGUCGGAUGUGAAAUCCCCAGGCUUAACCGGGGAACUGCGUCUGAUACUGGAUGGCUUGAGUUCGGGAGAGGGAUGCGGAAUUCCAGGUGUAGCGGUGAAAUGCGUAGAUAUCUGGAGGAACACCGGUGGCGAAGGCGGCAUCCUGGACCGACACUGACGCUGAGGAGCGAAAGCCAGGGGAGCAAACGGG
This 253-nucleotide ribosomal RNA is filed under the name uncultured bacterium. RNAcentral's name for it is "partial 16S ribosomal RNA". It matches the Rfam family "Bacterial small subunit ribosomal RNA", at positions 524 to 776 of the family's 1533-position model. The record is from RNAcentral.